GGAACAUUAGCUCAGUGGUUAGAGCAUCACAUAAUGAUUUUAAAGGUAGUUAUUGUGAAGGUCACUGGUUCAAAUCCAGUAUGUGCUUCA
Molecule: transfer RNA, 90 nt
Filed under: Crassvirales sp.
Lineage: Duplodnaviria; Heunggongvirae; Uroviricota; Caudoviricetes; Crassvirales
Description: tRNA-His
Rfam family: tRNA
About the family: Transfer RNA (tRNA) molecules are approximately 80 nucleotides in length. Their secondary structure includes four short double-helical elements and three loops (D, anti-codon, and T loops). Further hydrogen bonds mediate the characteristic L-shaped molecular structure. tRNAs have two regions of fundamental functional importance: the anti-codon, which is responsible for specific mRNA codon recognition, and the 3' end, to which the tRNAs corresponding amino acid is attached (by aminoacyl-tRNA synthetases). tRNAs cope with the degeneracy of the genetic code in two manners: having more than one tRNA (with a specific anti-codon) for a particular amino acid; and 'wobble' base-pairing, i.e. permitting non-standard base-pairing at the 3rd anti-codon position.
Source: RNAcentral